This is a non-coding RNA of Ruminococcus sp., 371 nucleotides long. It matches the Rfam family "transfer-messenger RNA". Rfam says of the family: Bacterial tmRNA, also known as 10Sa RNA or SsrA, is named for its dual tRNA and mRNA-like properties. Its role is to liberate the mRNA from a stalled ribosome. The record is from Rfam. NCBI's taxonomy places the organism in Bacteria, Bacillati, Bacillota, Clostridia, Eubacteriales, Oscillospiraceae.
GGGGCCGUAAAGGUUUCGACGGGGAUUUUGCAGUACGGUAAGCGAGCGGAGAUGCGAUACCUCCUUAAACAAUCGCAAACUUAAAUAUAAACGCUAACAAUAAUAAAAUAGCAAUGGCUGCCUAACGGCAGUGCUGCGGCUUUUCAGCCGCCCGUCACUCCCUUGAGUAUCACGGCUUGGGACUUGGCGUCAUGCAGUGAUGAACGCGAACGGAGAUUUUUCCUGUUGUAUCCGUCGUGAAUAAAACAGAUACUUUUCAUGCAGCCUGACUGACGGCGGUAUGAGAGGGAAUUUCAAAAGACAGUCUGCGCUCGGAGAAAGCUGUAUGAAUAGAUUUUCGGACAGGGGUUCGACUCCCCUCGGCUCCACCA